This 253-nucleotide ribosomal RNA is filed under the name uncultured bacterium. RNAcentral describes it as "partial 16S ribosomal RNA". It matches the Rfam family "Bacterial small subunit ribosomal RNA", at positions 524 to 776 of the family's 1533-position model. The record is from RNAcentral.
UACAGAGGUGCCGAGCGUUAGGCGGAAUCACUGGGCUUAAAGCGCGUGUAGGCGGGUCGGUAAGUGUCUUGUGAAAUCCCACGGCUCAACCGUGGAACUGCUGGGCAUACUGCCGACCUUGAGGCGUCUAGGGGCGAGCGGAACAAAUGGUGGAGCGGUGAAAUGCGUAGAUAUCAUUUGGAACGCCGACGGUGAAAACAGCUCGCUGGGGACGUCCUGACGCUGAGACGCGAAAGCCAGGGGAGCGAACGGG